CGAACGCUGGCGGCGUGCUUAACACAUGCACGUCGAACGCUGAAGCUCAGCUUUUGUUGGGUGGAUGAGUGGCGAACGGGUGAGUAACACGUGAGUAACCUGCCUCCUUCUUUGGGAUAACGCCCGGAAACGGGUGCUAAUACUGGAUAUUCACUGGUCUUCGCAUGGGGGUUGGUGGAAAGGGUUUUUCUGGUGGGGGAUGGGCUCGCGGCCUAUCAGCUUGUUGGUGGGGUGAUGGCCUACCAAGGCUUUGACGGGUAGCCGGCCUGAGAGGGUGACCGGUCACAUUGGGACUGAGAUACGGCCCAGACUCCUACGGGAGGCAGCAGUGGGGAAUAUUGCACAAUGGGCGCAAGCCUGAUGCAGCGACGCCGCGUGAGGGAUGGAGGCCUUCGGGUUGUGAACCUCUUUCGCUCAUGGUCAAGCCGCAACAAUGGUUGUGGUGAGGGUAGUGGGUAAAGAAGCGCCGGCUAACUACGUG
Molecule: ribosomal RNA, 481 nt
Filed under: uncultured bacterium
Lineage: Bacteria
Description: partial 16S ribosomal RNA
Rfam family: Bacterial small subunit ribosomal RNA
Source: RNAcentral